Molecule: ribosomal RNA, 408 nt
Filed under: uncultured bacterium
Lineage: Bacteria
Description: bacterial SSU rRNA
Rfam family: Bacterial small subunit ribosomal RNA
Source: RNAcentral
AUUGAACGCUGGCGGAAUGCUUUACACAUGCAAGUCGAGCGGCAGCGCGGGGGCAACCCUGGCGGCGAGCGGCGAACGGGUGAGUAACAUAUCGGAACGUACCCCGUCGUGGGGGAUAACACAGCGAAAGCUGUGCUAAUACCGCAUACGACCUGAGGGUGAAAGCGGGGGAUCGCAAGACCUCGCGCGAUGGGAGCGGCCGAUAUCGGAUUAGCUUGUUGGUGAGGUAAAGGCUCACCAAGGCGACGAUCCGUAGCUGGUCUGAGAGGACGACCAGCCACACUGGAACUGAGACACGGUCCAGACUCCUACGGGAGGCAGCAGUGGGGAAUUUUGGACAAUGGGGGGCAACCCUGAUCCAGCCAUUCCGCGUGAGUGAAGAAGGCCUGGUGUAAGACGUCUUUCUAG